RNAcentral lists this ribosomal RNA (253 nucleotides) under uncultured bacterium. RNAcentral's name for it is "partial 16S ribosomal RNA". It matches the Rfam family "Bacterial small subunit ribosomal RNA", at positions 524 to 776 of the family's 1533-position model. The record is from RNAcentral.
UACGUAGGGUGCGAGCGUUAAUCGGAAUUACUGGGCGUAAGGCGUGCGCAGGCGGUUGUGCAAGACAGAGGUGAAAUCCCCGGGCUUAACCUGGGAAUGGCCUUUGUGACUGCACGGCUAGAGUGUGUCAGAGGGAGGUAGAAUUCCACGUGUAGCAGUGAAAUGCGUAGAUAUGUGGAGGAAUACCGAUGGCGAAGGCAGCCUCCUGGGAUAACACUGACGCUCAUGCACGAAAGCGUGGGGAGCAAACAGG